UACAGAGGGGGCGAGCGUUGUUCGGAAUUACUGGGCGUAAAGGGCGCGUAGGCGGCCAACUAAGUCAGACGUGAAAUCCCUCGGCUCAACCGGGGAACUGCGUCUGAUACUGGAUGGCUUGAGUUCGGGAGAGGGAUGCGGAAUUCCAGGUGUAGCGGUGAAAUGCGUAGAUAUCUGGAGGAACACCGGUGGCGAAGGCGGCAUCCUGGACCGACACUGACACUGAGGAGCGAAAGCCAGGGGAGCAAACGGG
RNAcentral lists this ribosomal RNA (253 nucleotides) under uncultured bacterium. Its description in RNAcentral is "partial 16S ribosomal RNA". It matches the Rfam family "Bacterial small subunit ribosomal RNA", at positions 524 to 776 of the family's 1533-position model. The record is from RNAcentral.